CUUCGGGUAACGAGGAUGGCGGACGGGUGAGUAACGCGUAAGGAACUUGCCUCUUGGUCUGGGACAACUGUUGGAAACGACAGCUAAUACCGGAUAUUAUGAGAUUCUCGCAUGGGAAACUUAUGAAAGCUAUAUGCGCCAAGAGAGAGCCUUGCGUUCCAUUAGCUAGUUGGUGGGGUAACGGCCCACCAAGGCGACGAUGGAUAGCCGGCCUGAGAGGGUGAACGGCCACAAGGGGACUGAGACACGGCCCUUACUCCUACGAGAGGCAGCAGUGGGGAAUAUUGGACAAUGGGCCACAAGCCUGAUCCAGCAAUUCUGUGUGCACGAUGAAGGUCUUCGGAUUGUAAAGUGCUUUCAGUUGGGAAGAAGAAAGUGACGGUACCAACAGAAGAAGCGACGGCUAAAUACGUGCCAGCAGCCGCGGUAAUACGUAUGUCGCAAGCGUUAUCCGGAUUUAUUGGGCGUAAAGCGCGUCUAGGCGGAAAAAUAAGUCUGAUGUUAAAAUGCGGGGCUCAACUCCGUAUUGCGUUGGAAACUGUUUUUCUAGAGUACUGGAGAGGUGGGCGGAACUACAAGUGUAGAGGUGAAAUUCGUAGAUAUUUGUAGGAAUGCCGAUGGAGAAGUCAGCUCACUGGACAGAUACUGACGCUGAAGCGCGAAAGCGUGGGGAGCAAACAGGAUUAGAUACCCUGGUAGUCCACGCCGUAAACGAUGAUCACU
This 723-nucleotide ribosomal RNA is filed under the name uncultured bacterium. RNAcentral describes it as "bacterial SSU rRNA". It matches the Rfam family "Bacterial small subunit ribosomal RNA", at positions 78 to 817 of the family's 1533-position model. The record is from RNAcentral.